Non-coding RNA from Podarcis lilfordi (Lilford's wall lizard), 6970 nucleotides. The record is from the annotation of a GenBank genome assembly. NCBI's taxonomy places the organism in Eukaryota, Metazoa, Chordata, Lepidosauria, Squamata, Lacertidae.
UGGAAGACUGGGCAUUUUGCAGAGUUCACACAAACACAUCUAACUUGGAUCAAUUUCCAAACUACCCAGAAUUCUGGGGAGGGGGGAUGUGCAUCAAAUGUGCUGUAAAUGUGCAGCGCGAGCACAGCUUAAGUAUACAAAAAAAUCCCUGAAGGACAGAAUAAAGUAAGGCUUAUGAAGGGUGUGGUUUGAGGUGAGGGUGUGUGGCUGAGGCCAGGAAGUCUUCUGGGGGCCAGAGAGGCCUGGGGCGGCCUGAGGUUCAACUUUGACCAUAGGCAGUGUUGUCAAAAGUAUAAUGGCUCAAGCUGCCUUGGAAAUAAUUGCUUCUGUUCAUCCAGGUAUUUGUAUGUAUUGCUAUUUAUCUUUUACUGCGGUAUGUUACUGAAUGGAUGAGUGCUUUCAGUCAAUUGUUAUUUUAGCUUUUCGGUACGCUUUGUUACCAUUUAUGCUUUAAUAAUUGUAUUGCUCUGAGACAUUUUUGUACUAAGUGAUGAAUAAAUGCAAAUAACAGCAAUAACAACAACAGUAAUAUUUUAUUCCUUCCAGUGUUUGUCUGCUGCUUGUGAUAAGGUAAAGGAUUCUGCAUAUGCUCACAGCUACUCUUCUUUUUAAUACUGUUACCCAUUUCCGGAGCUGAUCCCAAGCAUUUAAAUGUGUUCUAGAGCUGUGCUUUGGGAAAUCCUAGUCAAAAUAAAGCCUUUCAGAGACGUGGGGCAGGGAGGGGAGGAACAGGAUGAGGAAACAGGUGUAUACAAAGAGGCAAAGGGGCAAGGAAAGGAGAAAAGUGAAAAAUGAAGGGGGAAGGGAAACAAAAUGAUUUAGGGUGUGGGGUAGAAAUAGUGAGUGAGAAACAGGAAAAAGAGGCCAAGAAGGAAAAGCAAGGUCUGGGUCAAAAAAGUAUACUUAAAUCAACUUUUUUUGGAAAGGUCAGAAAAGAGAGAGAAUUGUGUGGAAAUUAGGCACAACAGGAUUAGAAAAGAAUGGAAAUGCUCAGAUAACUUAAUGGGAGAAAAGGGGAGAAUGAAUGACUGUGAGGUACUGAGAUAGUUUUUAAAAUGCAAAGGAGGCGAGGAAGAAAGGAAAGAGAGAAACAUUUGGCACACCGAAGGAUUUGGCUAAGAAGGCAUUGACUGACAUUUGUUUAGCAAACCCCGCUUUAAACACCACCACCACCCAAAUUACCAUCAUGGGGUAGAGUGCAGGGGCAAAUACAAGAGAGCUAUCUCCCUAUCUAUAAAAUAAAAUGUUACAGGGAUUGGCGGAGGUUGAAAGUGAAGGCAGGAAAAUGACACUCUUAAACCUAAAGCAAAAACAAAAGGUAAUUUGUACGCCCUGCUAUAAAUGCCCAGCCCACCAUUUGUCUGCACAAGGCAGACCUAUUGCUGAGGGUUGCUUCAGAUCCAGUCCUCGCCCGGCAGCGGCUGCUGAAAGAUGCCAGCUUGGCUGAGAAGAAAAGAACAAGGGACUUUGGGGGGGGGAGGAGAAGGAGAAGCCAAGCAGCCACCCCCCUGUACCACAUUAGUUAGCUCAGCUCUGCCUCAGCUCAGCCCAAGGAUGGAAACAGAAUAUUAUUGUAAGCCAACCUGUGCAGUGUCAUGGUUAGUGUCAGACAAGGACUGGGGAGACCAGGGUUCAAAUCCCCAUCAAAUAACUGGGCAUAGCUGUCAACCUUCCCUUUUUUUUUUGCGGGAAAUUCCCUUAUUCCAGCGCCGUUUCCCGCUGCUUCCUUCUACUAUCCUGGAUUGUUAGAUAUCCCGUAGACUGUCCCCGGGACAGGUGAGGCUGCUGAUCCUUAUUUUCAAAUCUGAAAGUUGACAGCUAUGUAACUGGGUGACUUUGAGCUAGAGUAGUAGUGAGAAUAAUAUAGGGAGGAGGAGAGACAGGCAAUGUAACCGAAGGAGUUGGCUGAGCUGCACUGGAAUGAUGCAUAAGGAAGCUGGAACUAUUUGUCCCUCUAGCUUUCUUUGGUCUGGAGCUAAAAAUAUUACCUGUUACAUGUUCUGUGCCUUUAGCUAUAUCUUGGAAUGCAGCAAAUAAAAAAGUACAGUAUUUCCCCUUCGCCAUACAGUCUACAGUUCAGCCACUAAUAUCUUGCUCCUUGGGCAGAGGCAUCUUGCAGUUGCUAGCAUCCUACAGGAAGGGCUUCUUAUGUGGUGGUGCAACCUUUCUGGAUCGCAUCCAUCUCCUGGAACCUUCUUGUUUAGGGAUGCAGGCUGAGCUCUGGGGAUGCCUCUGAGCGCGACACCGAGAUGCAGACCUCAUAGAUGCGGAAGGUGGCAAAGGCGCCAGCCACAAUGCAGCAAAUGCCCACGAUGUACCACCAGUUGAAGGCACCAAAGGAAACCCCAUUUAAAAUGCAGUAGAUCCCAAAAGAGAUGGCAGCAAUGACAGAGAUUAUCUGUAGGCAAACAGGUGGGUCACUUCCUCUCUCUUGCAUAGCCAGGUCAGCAAGUUAAGUCUUUUCCAAGCUAAAAUGAUCGAUGAUUCUGGGUUCUGUAUAGUUUUUUUAAAAAAAGUUGCUGAGAGAAGUGAGGUCUGUCUACUGUGGUGUGCUCAUGGUGUGCGCAAUAUAUAUUAAUACUUGGCUAGAAGGAUUAAGGUUCUGGAGGCAUCUUAUCCUAAUUUCCAAUUAUGUUAAGUGGUCCACAAUCCAUCUGAUUCCAUUAAGCAUCUUAGAAUGCACAAUACCUUUAUUUAUUUCGUGGGAAUAAGAUGCACAUAAAAACGUGGGUAGCAGAGGGUGGAGAAAAUCAGCAAAACUGUUUGGUUGCUCCCAUCUUCGACACUGGAGGCUUCUCCUUGGGCAAAACAUCUGAGGAACUUCAGUGGUAGUUUAACUAUGAUAUUAGCAUCAUUUAAGUUAGGGAAGCCCAGACUUCCAUAACAGAAGUGCAAGCCAUGAUUAGCUUACCAUGCUGAUGCUGGUAAGAUGCUCCUAGAGGCUCCCAUUUUUAUUUUUGUAAGUGUUGGUGCUGACCUUUAAAGCCCUAAACGGCCCCGGUCCAGUAUAUCUGAAGGAACGUCUCCACCCCCAUCGUUCUACCCGGACACUGACGUCCAGCACUGAGGGCCUUCUGGCAGUUCCCUCACUGCGAGAAGCCAAGUUACUGGGAACCAGGCAGAGGGCCUUCUUGGUAGUGGCACCCGCCCUGUGGAACACCCUCCCAUCAGAUGUCAAGGAGAACAACAACUACCAGACUUUUAGAAGACAUCUGAAGGCAGCCCUCUUUAGGGAAGCUUUUAAUGUUUAAUGUAUUACAGUAUUUUAAUAUAUUUUUGGAAGCUGCCCAGAGUGGCUGGGGAAGCCCAGCCGGAUAGGUGGGGUAUAAAUAAUAAAUUAUUAUUAUUAUUAUUAUUAUUAUUAUUAUUAUUAUUACUUUCAUAUCCCAAGCCUUCAGGUGCUGGGUAUGGUUCCCUCCUCCCCCUUUCAUCCCCGCAACAACUCUGCGAGGCAAGCUGGGCUCAGACAGUGACUGGCUCAGUGAAGCUUCCUGGCUGAGUUUCUUGGGGAUUUGAACCUCGUCCAACACUAACCACAUUGGUUCUCCAACCAAUCUAUGCAAUAAUAUGCCUGUUCAGGUCAGAUGUCCUUCUAGGACAGAGAGAGAACAUGCAGCAGUAUCUUACAAUGGAGGUAACUUGUGGGUUGACCCUGAUUUUAGGUUCUGAAUGUGCAUUCUAGGGUAUGCUCUGUUCACACGGGGGCCAGAGAGACUGGUUGACGCUGGGUCAGUUGUUACUCAUCGCACAUGGAGUUAUAUAUCCAUAACUCCCUUGCUGCACAGUCCUGCUAGGGAACAUGAGUAAUGGCAGAUUAACUGCUUUGAAACUCCUUGUGCUCCAUUGCUGAUACUUUCUUCUUAUAAACUCCUGAGUUUCUUGGAACACAGUUUGAAAAGUACUGCAACAGAUGAGGAGGCUCAUCAGUUUGCUCACAGCAUGAAUGAAUCUAGCUAGCUGGGUUAGAUCCAGAUUUAAGUCAUAUGCAGAGUAAGCCCACUGGAACAAUGAGACUUAAGUUACUCAUAACUUAAGCCACAUUGGUUUUAAUUAGCCUACUUUAAAUACGACAUCUUGGAUCUAAACUGCUCUUUUUACUGCUGGGCUGUACAAGACAUAAAUCAAGGCAAGCAGAUUCCAAGAAAAAUGUCUGACUCCAAACCUUUUUCAACAUUUUUAAUUAAAGUAAAAAGGUAAAGGUAGCACUGACCAUUAGGUCCAGUCACGGACGACUCUGGGGUUGUGCACUCAUCUCGCUCUACGAUGCAGAUGCAGAACACGUGUGGGGUUGUGCUGCUUUUUGUGUAGUAUUUCAGUUGCUUAAAAGCAUUAAUUAUGAUUGAUGCAACUUUAUAUCGUUUUGUAAAACUCAUUUUAUUUCAUUGACAGCAUUGGUCUCAUCAUACAGUUGAACUCUUAAUUUAAUCACACACAUAACUAAAAUAUUCUGCAAAUGCAUUGACUUUGACACUGCUAAAGCCCACAGUGGUAGAAUUUGAUCGAUUGAUGGGGCAGAAAAAGAACGAUGUAAUCUAACCAAUUACUUGCUGAAAAACGUUAACCCUAAAAACACUACAAAACAAACCAUAGUCUUUGUCUAAAUUAGUGGAGGGGAAACUUCCACAUACCAUCACAGACCAGGUAAGACACAUUAACUGUGCUCCUUGGGAAACUGUUCCAACAUAAAACUAUACCCACUUCAAAGCAGGGACGCCUGAACAGUCAAAAAGAAGCAGCAUUAUCAGUUUCUAGUAUCUGUUUUUUGCUGGGUUCUCAAAACAGAGUUGAGAAUGCAUGACAGACGGAGUUUCUAUGCCUGUGUUUAAUAAACUGUUGAAAUCUCAGGCCAGCCAUGUUUUAUUCAAAACUUCAGAAGGAGAAAAUCAGUUCAUAGUGGCCACCAGAUGUUUUGGCCUACAACUCCCAUGAUUCCUGAUCACUGGCCAUGUUGCUAGGAGCGGUAGACCUAAACAUCUGGAGGGGACCAGUUUGGGGAAAGGCAGCUGCAAAGCAUAUGUACUCACCUUUCACUGUCUGUAAAAUAGAAUGCUCCCAAAAAUAUUUUAUCAUCAUCAGGGUGAGCUGUUUAAGAUCCAGACUUAGCAGCAUUGUUACCUUCUGUAGAUUACCGUAUUUUUUGCUCUAUAAGACUCACUUUUUCCCUCCUAAAAAGUAAGGGGAAAUGUGUGUGCGUCUUAUGGAGUGAAUGCAGGCUGCGCAGGCUGCUGAAUCCCCAGAAGCCAGAACAGCAAGAGGGAUCGCUGCUUUCACUGCGCAGCGAUCCCUCUUGCUGUUCUGGCUUCCGAGAUUCAGAGUAUUUUUUUUCUUGUUUUCCUCCUCCGAAAACUAGGUGCGUCUUGUGGUCUGGUGCGUCUUAUAGAGUGAAAAAUAUGGCAAUCUGUGAACAGGGACCCCAGGGCCUCUCUGAUAAACUCCCAUCAGCUUUAUCUUGUAUCCUGGGACAUUAACCGUUGUGAAAUUCAACAGAGAUCUCUGGCCAGUUUGCAGGCUUUGAACCCUCAUUUAUAUAGACUACUUUUAAAAAGCUGAGCUUCCAGUGCAUCUUCUACCACUAUGAACCAUGGAGAGCAACAGUCGACCCCACCCACCCAGAGUAGUGGCUUAGAAUUUGGCCGCUUCAUGCCUUACAAAGCAACUCUGUGCAAUGAGACAAUAGCGAUUCACCAAAUUGUAUUAAAGCUGUCCCUGUUGCCUCAACGCUCUUCCAAAAUCUUACCCAGAGUGGUUCCAAUCAACCCAAUCAGGUCCCUGUUAUUUAAUUCCCCUGGGGUUACAUGUUAAAAUAAAUUCUAAAUGCCAGGUUACUGAAAGAGACAGACACAAAGAAUUUCGUCCUCAAAACAUAAAUGUGCCAUCCGCUGGCAUGGUACCAUGGGCGCUAGGUUCAGGAAGUUGAGUAUCCAAAACAUUGCUUAACAUGUGGAAGUUCUCAGGUUGCUCUGAUCCUGGCUUAGGUUUGAAAAUUCUUGAAAUAGCAGAAAGUUAAACCAGUAAAGUGUUGUUUUUUUAAAUGGAAACAGUAAUCUUUACCACUUAAAUCCUGAGCGGUAGAAGUGGGGUAGCUCAUCCGCUGUGUUGUGUUUAAAUGUACAAUGUUUUUGUCAGGACUGAGGUUAGGGGAAACUGGUUCUUACCAGUUUGCGGUAGAAACCACCUCUACCUAACAGUGAUGAGAUUUGCCCUCGUGAGAUCACAAAUCCAUUCCCGUAGCACUUCUGCAUAUUAGAAACCUUCAUCUUUAAAUAGAAAAAAAUUACAUUGAUAUUGUGAUUCAAAACUUCACAUUUUUGUGUUAACUGUAAAAGUUGGUAUUCAGACCAUAUGGGAACAAAAACAUGUGCAUAUCAAAAAUAACUUCUUGCAGAUUCCCAACAUCUUUCAAUGCACAUUAUGCUGCAAGGUUAAUACAUGCUGCCUUAUCCCAUCAAUAUUUUUAAAUCUUCGCCUCCUGUGGGAUUAGUUUCCAAAUUAUUGAUUUUCAAAAAGUCAAAGAAUUACCAGUUAGUCAAAGGACAAAUAAAUUCCAAAGCUAUUUAUAUGAUCAAAGACUGGACUAAAUUCCACAGAAGGCACAUGGCGAAUUCUACAGUACUCCUUUCGUUUUCUAAAUUGCAUCUCUAAAACUGUGUCAGUAAACACUGGUUAAUAGGCUUAGCCGUGGAUAUCUCUUGGCUGUUUGCGGAUGUCACCAAUAUCAAUUUCACUGGCUAAGACUCGGUGACAAUUCAUCUGUUUACUAAGCUUUGGAGGGUGGGUAUUUUAUCAGACACCAGACAAAAUGGAAUGAGUCUAACAUCAUCAUCUUAAUCAUUAUUCUUGCAACAUUCAAUCAUUAUUCUUGCAACAUCCAACAAGGAGUUUGUUUUUCAUAUUACGAGAAGGGAUAAAAUUAGGAAUGAAGGACAGCAAUCGGAAGAACAAGACAUGUACGUAACCACUCCAGUCAGCC